Cercocebus atys (sooty mangabey) is the source of this 9360-nucleotide RNA transcript. RefSeq lists it as uncharacterized. NCBI's taxonomy places the organism in Eukaryota, Metazoa, Chordata, Mammalia, Primates, Cercopithecidae. The record is from RefSeq and is a predicted model, not a curated record. The transcript has 8 exons.
GUGGGCAAAGGACGUUAUGUAAUUUUUUAGUGGUUGCUUUAUGUAUUAUGUUACCUAUACAUAACUUAUCACAGUCUACUGGUAUCCUCAUUUUACCAUUCGAAGCAGUUAAAAAAUCUUACCUACUUUUGUACCUUCACUCUUAUAAUAAAUUGUCUUAGAUAUUUCCUCCACAUGCAUUUAGAAAUAUAACAGUGUUCUAUUUCUGUUUCCACAAUCAAAUAUAAUUUGGAAAACUCCAGAAAAGGAAAGUCUAUUCUAUUUAUCCAUAUUUGUAUGUACUAAAUUCUUUCUUUCUUUCUAAACUUCCAAGAUUCCCUCUUCUGUCUUUUCCAUUCUGUUUAGACAACUUCCUUAACCGUUCUGUCAUGUUAGGCCUGCUAGUUGAAAAUUAUUCUAGUUUUCUUUAUCUAACAGUGUUUUCCUUUCCCCUUCAUUUCUAAAGGAUAUUUUCUAUGGAUAUCAAACUCUAGGUUGAUAGUUCUUUUCUUUCAGCUAGUGAAACGGUCAUGUCCUUUCCUUUUGGUCUUUAUGGUUUCUGAUGGGAAACACACUCUCUGAAUCAUUUUUCCUCUAUAGAUUAGACUGUGAUUUUUUUCCUGCUCUUUUCAAGAUUUUUUUCUUUAAGUGUUUGUAAGUUUGACCAUGAUAUGCUUUGGUAUAAAUUUCUUUGUUUUUUUUUCUGUUUGUGGUUUGUUCAGCUUCUUGAAUCUGUGUCCUUUUUGCUAUAUUUUGGAAGUUUCCAGCCACUACAGCCACUAUUUCUUUGAGGAUAUUUUAAGCAUUGCCCUUUAUCUCCUCUCUUUCUGGGAUUCUAGUGACACAGAUACAAAUGUUUUAUUUUUUGUUAUAGUUUCACAGUUGCCUAAGUCUCUGUUUUUAAAUAUAGUUUAUUUCUGUUGUUCAGAUUAAGUUAUUUCUAUUAUUCUUCCUUCCAGUUCACUGAUUCUUUCUUCUGCCUUCUCCACUCUGCUGUCAAGUACAUCCUUUUAGUUUUUGAUAAUUUCAGUUGUUUUAUUUUUCAGUUCUAAAAUUUUUAUCUGAUUAUUCUUUGUAUCUUCUGUUUCUUUGUCAAAACUCUUACCUUUUGUAUUUGUUUCAACCAUGUUUAUAAUUGCCCCUUGGAGCAUUUUCAUGACAGCUGCUUUAAAAUCUUUGUCAGAUAAUUCUAACAUCUCUGUCAUCUCAAUAUUCACGUGUAUGAAUAGCCUUGUAAAAAUUCAGUUUGAGAUCUUCUUUUUGCUUUGUGUGACAAAUGAUUUUCAGUUGAAACCUGGACAUCUUAGGUAUUAUGUAUGAGGCUCUAGUUCUUAUUUAAACCUUGUGUUUUAUCUGGCUUCUUCUUACACCACUCCAGCCGGGAAAAGGGGGUGUGCUGCCUUGUUACUGCCAGAUAUGGAUAGAAGUAGCUCCUGCUCUUCAGUGAACCUCCAUUGGUUUCUGCUACCAAACUGACCUCCACUGAUAGCUUCCUGGCUAGGAAAAAUGGAAAAAUGGAGCGGUUUAUUGCUGCUCUUAUUGUGGUCUUCACCAGUGCUUUAGAAGUUGAGGGAUAGCAGGGUAGCCUUGUUACAGCUGGACAGUUUUGAAUGUUCUCAAUCUCCACCAAACCUUCUCUCAUACAACCUCAGUGGAGAGGGAGAUGGAUACCUCAUUAUUGCUGGGUUUGGGGUGGAAGUCCAGACUGUCCAUUUAGUCAACAUAGACACUGCAUGUAGGGUAAGAGAGGAAUCUUGCUAACCCCCGACAGGGAUGAAACUUUUAGAUUCUUGCUCAGACUUGUUUUACACUGCUCUGGGGGCUGGAAGGAGAGGGUGUUGGAAUAUCCUGGCAAGGAUCAGCGUCUGGGCUUGCCACUUUGCCUUUGCGGGUGUCCAUGGGGAUGGGACCAUAAUUAUUUUUGUGGUAUUCAACUAGAGCAAAAUGGUAUUGCUUUCUGUCUUUCUAGGCUGCCCCUUUCUUGUUCCUUUGACUAGAGAGAACAGCCUUUUGUUGGAACUUUGUUUUUUUGUCUGAACCAGUUGGCAUUUCUGGGUUGCAGGCUUCUUCAGUUCCAAAGUUUUGAUGUAUAAGGUAAAAAUUAAAAAUCCAUGUCAUUCCUUGAGUCCUUCAGUCUCUAGCUAGUUUUUCAUCUUCUCUCAGCUUUUCAGAGUCUCCUUCAAUUUGUUUGAUAUGUAAUGAGGAAGGAUUUUAAUUGUACCUAGCAGGGGGGUUAGAAAAAACUAUGUCUACUCCAUCUUUCUAGAAGUGAAAGUCUCCCAUUACUUUGUUUCUUUUUAAAAAUUGUUUUUAACUGGGAAGGCAGCAUACAAUUUUCACAUCAGAUUCUUUCAGAAAGUUCAGCAGAAUUAUACAAAACUAAUCACGAAUUUAGUGUUAAAAAGGAAACCUUCAGACAGAGAAAAUAUCUCUAUCUGUAAUUUAUUUUUUAAUAUCCAUUUUACUUCCACUUUCCAAUUUCCAUCGGUUUGUUUCUUGACAAGUUUGUCUCCUUUAGGACCUGCAACAUCUCUGUUUAGUAGUGAGCUUUUCUCACUUAAAAGUACUUACCGAAUGACUACCACCUGGGAACAUGUCAAUUUCCUUCACUGAUCCUCCCCUAUGCCUGUCAGAAGGCCUGGCACAUACUAGGACUUAAUAAAUAAUCUGCUGAAUAAGUGAAUGAGAACUGGAAAUUUAAAUUUUUAUGUAAAUGAGUGCAUCAUCUACUUUCUUGUUUUGCUGAAGCAUGGGACUUAAGUUCCAACUAAGCACUCUUUAAACAUGUGCCUAGGACACUAGCAGAUUUCUCCAGAAUUUUGCAAUCUAGAAAAAAGGCAAUUUUAAUUUCAGGCCCAUGUGUAAAUUUUUAGUUUAUGGUUUAGAAUUGCAUUAUUUUGAAUUACAAAUAGGAAGAACAACAUGAUGGUUCUCACAUGUGUGUACGGGUACGUGCACAUUCACUCCUAUCGUUACUAAAGUAAGUCACCUGAACGACAUGGCGCAAAAACAGCCACAAACCAUUUUUAGUUAUGUUUCCUAGAUGCCUGAAUCCUUUUUCAGAUUCUUUUCUAUUAGACAAGUCACAGUUUGAUUAUCUUUGAAAGUCAUUGUUAUGUAUUGUGUGGCGUAUGUGUUUAUACAUGGAAAAGGGGCAACAUUAAUCCAUCAUUUUGGGAAGGCACUGAAUAUAAUGUUAAAUUUUUUGCAAACAUAAUCAUACUUUAGAUAUUCUCCAACUAUUGCAACGUUUUUAAAAAACAAGGUUAAAGGACAUGGUUCUUUUUAGUGCCACUCAGUAUGCUGUUUCAGUACUAAUAAUGCUUGCUUUCCUGCUUGGCUUUAAAUUCUGCUUAAGGAAAUUGUGAAAAAUUGAAUUCACUCUACUUUAGUUAGAAAGUGUAGAAAUGUUCGUACAUGGGAACUUUCACUGCCUGCUAGAAUGGAAAUUCAUUGGGGAGGGGGUACCAUGUCGUUUUACUACCUAAGAGCUGUUGACACAGUCCCUGCAUCUUUCAAAGGCAUCUUUCAUGCCACACGGGCAAACUGUAGCCAGCGAAGAAACAGAAAGAGCCCUUCUCACAUAUGUCAAUCUCAAAAAACUUGCACAGCAGCUGUGCUAGGUACUGAUGAGGAUUACUACAGACCCAGUUGCAGGGUUUUAUGUGGCUAAAGAGACAACUGGCUUUCUCAGGGGAACACUUUGUUGAAGAUUGCAGCUUAGUGCAUCCCCACUGUUGCUGGAAGACGUUGUGACCAUGUAGUACAAAAUCACUGCCAGAUAAAAUCAGAAAGUAGCAAAAAGCAAGAAGAAAAACUCAGAGUUUUUUUAAAUCUUAAAGUGAGAGACGAAAACAAAUGUUCUGGGCUUGUUUCAUUCACUUGUAAGGAAAAGGAGACAGAUGAAGGGAUGCCUUUAACUCAGAAAACUUGAAGGGCUUUCAGUCUUUUCAUUUGAGAACCAUUUGGGUGUGUUGAGAAAAAAAGUUGCAGAGUAGGCAUGUUCAGACCUUUAUUUGCUACAUUUGGUAGGAAAGAUUUUUUUUUCCCCCUCUUAACUACAAGAAGCCAGAGUUUUCUGUGCAAACGAAACAGGCGUUGCAAGAAUCAGAUUCACUUUGGACGACUCUUCACAUUCCAAGUCAUCAUUGCGUUAGGCAGCACAAUUCCAUCUCUGGUUGAUGGGCAGAAAAAGUGGGCAGCUUGCCAGGUAGACGUUUCCAUGACUCCCAGCCCCCAAAGGUGAUGCGUUUUUCAGCUAAUUCAAUGAAGAGUGGGCUGAACUUUGGGUCUAAACGAGACAAUAGCUGCCUUCGCAGUAUCAGCAGAAUGGUUGAUGGGAAUGCACUCUACAUUUGGCAGAGAAUCAUGUGACCUUACGACUGAGAUUUUGUGAUGGUGCCAACGGAGACUUGGAAAGCAGCAACCGUCCUGACUUUUUUCUUCUUUUCUAACAUGGCUCAGAAAAUGGUGGAUCUUAAUACUUGACUUUAGCCAGACUCAGCAAGCGACUGAGCUUUGAAGCACAACUUCGCCUUUAUUCUGGGUUUUUGGCAGGCCACCAGGAGGCUGUCCCUUUCACGCCUGAUAAAUUCUGCUGCUUAUCUCUAAAUAGAAAAAAAAGAAAAGAAAAUAAUAAUAGAAUAUUGAGGCAUAACAAGUGAAUUCCAAAAUUGUAUGUGCUUUUUUUUUUUGCCUUUUCUGACUGCUGAUUUUUAUUUUUUAUUUUUUAUUUAUUUAUUAUUUUUAUUAUUAUUAUUAUUAUUUUAGGUUACUACCGUUUCUGCUUGUAGAAGAAUACAAGUAGUUGGGUCUUUUUUGGUUUUUUUGUUUUUUUUUUUUGGUUUAAAAUGAACAGGCAUUUGAACUGGGCAAACAGGACGACAGCACCAGUGAGCAUGAGAUCAUUGCAUUGCAGCAGUGUAGCAAGCUGGCACCCUGCCUUUGCACCCCUUUGGUUCAGGAGACAAACGUGUGCAAUCCUCAUUUCUAAAGUCAGCACAGCCUGGAAGGAUUCCUGGUCUCUCCCACCUUCUACCAUUCUGCUGCCAGUGACGGCAAGGAUUGGUGUAGCUUCUGCGCAGUGCUUUGUGCCUGGAAUACCGAGAAGGAAGAAAAAGAAGACAAGCACCCUGGUCCUUUUCUAAGAAAUUACAGGCGCCCUUGAAGAAAAAAUCUGAGUGUGUCCUACUACAUGCAAGAGUGCUGAAAAAAAAAAAAAAAAAAAAGAGACGUUCCUGCUCAAAAACAAAAACAAAAGCAAACAAACAAAAAUCCAAACCAAAACAAACCAAAAAAAGGCAAACAUUGGCUGUAUAACUACAGAGACAUCGGGCUUUGUAAAGCAGCUUUUUAAGGCAACAUAGCCAAAUGAGCCUUCUUUAUUUUUAUUAUUUCAAACAAUAUGGCAUAAUUAGCAAUAUAUUGCACUUGGUGAAAUCGCACCUUUCAUAUCAGGGAAAAACUUAAAAUGGAUAUGAAAAGUGAAGAAAGUGAUCAUAGGAGAAAACCAUUUCAGAUAUCUGUGAAGAUCUCUCCAGAACUUCAUAUAUAUUUGGAUAAGAGAAAGGCUUCGGGCUUUGUAUUUCCUGAAAACCAAGAAAAAUCAACCACCUCAGAAGAGCCAGAUUCCACUUCUGUGGCCAGGACUUUUAUAUUAUGGCUGGUCCGAUUGUUUUACCCUGCGUUCUAUGCUACUAAACCUUGGAUCAUUCCUAAAGUACAAAUUCUGUUCUCGAACCACAAACAAGGCUAAAAGAUCGGAGGAAAUUCAGUGAAUAUACAGGAUUGGGGUUGUGUAUUUUUAAAAGUAUUGAGCUUUAUAAUGUAAUUAUUCAAGAAAUAGAAUCAUGGUUUUUUUUAUGAUGUUGCCAGCAUUUUAAAUUACAUGUUUAUCAAGUGGCAUUGCUCAAAUAACUACAGAGUAUGCGUGGAAAUAUUUGCUGUCUGAAUAGUUUGGAGAUUCAAAGAGAAAAAUCAAGCUUCAGAGGUGUCUGAUGAUUUGUGAGCCUCAAGUGACUACUCUGUGGAAUCAUCUGUCCUUGCCUUUGAAUUAGCUUUCCCUAGGCCUUGAGUCAACAUUGGUAGUUUAUACAUCCAAAUUGAUGACAAGAGCACCUCAAAGGCAGCAGCCUCUAGGAGCAGCCAUGGUUCCAGAGUUGUCCCACGGAUGCAGAAAAGUCUGCAAUGCAUCCCUAACAGAAUUCCAGAGAGCAUAUGAUGUGCCAGGCUCUGUGUAGGGGACAGGGACACAGUGGUGAACCAACACAAAGGUGGGUUUAUAGAAACACGAGUAAUAUGUUUAGAAUAAAUACAAAUGUGAAAAUCAUUGGCAAAAUAAAAGAUUUAAAUAUUUAAAAAAAGAUUUACAAGUCGACAAUAAUUUGAUGUUAAAACAUAGAUUAUAUUGGCAAAAAGUAGAAAGGGAAUGUGGAUGUGAAGAGAAGGAAUAAAAGGAGUACAGAAGGAAAGAUGUAUUAAUAUUUUUGUCCUCACUGGGCAGGGACAACUAUGUUGCUUCAUUCUUGGCUUUGAUACUAACACAGGUAUAAAGCAUAAGAAACAUAUGUAGACAUUUUAAGGAGACAUACAAAAUAAAUAUAAAAUAUAAACAUUGUGUAUCUUAUCAAAUCACUAGUCAAGAAUCAUAUAAUUUAAAUAACUAAAAUCAAGGCAAUAAAAGACAAAGUUAAUAACUGUUAUUUAAAAGGAUUCGUACCCUACAAACAGAACUACACAUUUUUCAGCCAUCUAUGAUUUAUUUACCAAAAUAGACUAGUAUUCGUUAAGAACAAGAUAAUAAUAAUAAAUAACAGAAAUUUCAGGAAUUACAUAAAGUCACAACUUAAUAAUACAAAAAAAAAGUUUUCAUAAAAACAUUCCCCCAAAAUAUUAAAAACAAACAACAAAUCAAUAAUAACAUUAAAAUAAGCAAGCUAUUUGCCUAAAUAACUGUUGGGACAGAAAGGAAACUAAACCAUAAUUGUAGGCCAUUUAGGAACCUACUAAAUUACAGCACCACAUUUUAACACUGAUGUAUCACCAAACCUGUUCUUAGAGACAAAUUCAUAGGCUUUAACAGUCUAUUAAAAAGAAAUGUAAAAGAAUCAUGUCUUUAUCACAGGGACUUAACUGGACUACAAUAAAGCAAAGAUGAAACUUAGAAGGAACACAAAUAUAAUUGAAUUCAAGAAAUUGGAAAAUCAACAAGUAAAUCACAGAACUAAUAUUUUUAAAGAAAAAAUUCUUUAAUAUUUUGCAAGGAGUAAGAAGCAAGAAAAAAAUGAGAAAGAAUAUAACAUGCAGAAAAUUUUUUAAAAAUACUGAGGGUAAUGCUUAAGAAGGUAAUCGCAAAUUUCUAGAAGAAACGCUAGCAAAUAUAAUUUGUAUAGGAUGUUAAAACAAUACCUAAUAAUGCAUUACUACUUUAUCUUAGUAAUGUAUAGAUGAUUUCAAUAAUCAAUUUAUAAUAUUUGACCUUAUGUAAUGGCAUUCUCUCUCCGUGUGUUCAAAUUUUCUUAUAGGACUAAUGCAUAUGUUUUAAUAUACUUCUGACAAGUUUAUGCUUUUUGUGAAAAUUAGAAAGAUUUUUUCCAUUACAUUUUUUACCUGGUUAUUGCUGGAUUAGAAGAGUCACAAAAUUCCACACACACAACUUGGAUGUAAACAAAAAAAUAUAUCACACAUAAUCUGGUCUUUUUCUGAAUUCCACUUCCAAAACUUGGCAGAAAAUCAAAGUGUUCAAUCUCCUGUGAAUCUACUCUGAUCUACUAUACUAAAACACACCUAGUCUUUUUGUCUUGCAUUUUUUCCCCUUCCUCAUUAUCUCUUCCUAAAUCUUGCCUGGGAAUUGAAAGCCCAGUAGAGAUCUUAUUCUGUCACUAAGCAAAAUCUGAUUUACAAUUUUGGUUAAGGAGAGGGAACAUAUUAAAACAUAUCAACAAUUUUAAAAUCAAUAUUAAUUAAAUUUCAUGUAGGUUUUAGAAAUUUUUUACUUGUAUACUUUUGACUUUAUUUUAUAAAAUUACAUUUUGAAAACUUCUACAUUUUUAGGAAAUACAUGGUAGCUAAAAAGCUGUGUUUGCUCUCGCUACAUUUGCUUUUCCUAUCCUUCAUUGCUCCUUGGAUUUUAGUCUGAUUGGUCUUGGGACAUGCCUGUUCCCCACAAACACCCCCACCACCAUACCCCAUUGUUGUGACACAUCUUGCUUAUUAAUGUGGUGGGAGUGGAGCUCACUUACAGAAUGUUUGCAGACUAGACAUUAGGCUACAGGCCUUUACCAUGGAGCAGCAAAGUGGUAUCUCACACCUCAUCCACAAAGGUUGGUCUAGUCCAAGCCCCUCUCCAGGUUCAUGUUCAUGUACAGCUCUUUGUUCUUACUGUAACAACCUACAUUUUAGAAUAGGCAGUGAGGACCAUUACCAAGAGAAGUAGGAGGGGCAACCUUCGGCUGUUUGUUUUACAGGAUCUCAACUUGUGAAUUUACUCUUCUCUUCACAGAAUGGGAUACCUGCCUGGCACUUACCAAGCUACACUUGAAGAGGAUCAGUCCAUAUCAUCAUGUCCCCAAUUUCACAGCACCAAGUAUUUUCUUUGUUCAUAAAUGCCCUAUUGUGGACAUCUAGCAAAAAACGAUAAAUCAAAAAUUAGAUAUGCAUAAAUUUUCAUGGAAUAAGGUAUAAAGCCCAACUCUCAAUACAUACUGAACAUAACAGGAGUCUAGGAAAUAUUCUAAAACAAAUGGGAAUGCAGAAUGUGCCACAGAAAAUAAGACACAUCAAUGAGGGUAGGUUUGAAAUACCAAUUUAAGGCAGACUUUCACCCUUUGGCCAGGCUGUAACAUUAAAAUUCCAUAGUUAAGAACUUACUAUAUAUUCAGGCAUUUAAAAAACUUUGCAUAUAUAAUUACAUUUGACCCUUCUAAUGCCUUUAUCAGAUAGGUUCUAUUAUUGCUCUUUUUUAAAUAAAGAAGAUAAACUUUGAAGAGAUUAAUAAAUUAAUAAAUUGGUCCUCCGUGGCACAGAUUAAUAAAUAGCAGAACCUUGAUUCAAAUUCUAAUUUUGUCCUCGAUUUUAACUUCCUAAUCCUAACGUUAUAAUGUUGUUUCAUGUUGUUAUAUGUUACUUUUAUGGAUUACAAAAGGUUAAAAACCAAUUUAUAUCCGUUUAAGAAAAAGCAGAAAUCAUAGGAAAUACCCUGAAGGUACUUCCCCCUUUCUCUGAGGGGUUUCAUAGAAACCAAGCACAGGAAUGCAGCUGGGCCUCAGGAAUAGCAGAAACCAGGGAAUAAAGACUGACCAAACUUUGUUUCCACCUCUGCCCCAGCCACCUCACCACCUUCCACCACACUCCACCAAUUCCCUCCACCCCCGCUCUACCCCC